This 2285-nucleotide ribosomal RNA is filed under the name human metagenome. RNAcentral's name for it is "bacterial LSU rRNA". It matches the Rfam family "Bacterial large subunit ribosomal RNA", at positions 14 to 2298 of the family's 2925-position model. The record is from RNAcentral.
AGAGCAUCGGGUGGAUGCCUUGGCGUCAGAAGGCGAUGAAAGACGUGGUAAGCUGCGAUAAGCCUCGGGGAGGAGCUAAACAUCCUUUGAGCCGGGGAUUUCUGAAUGGGGAAACCCAGCGGGAGUCAUGUCCCGUUAACAUUCACUGAAUUCAUAGGUGACUGUGGCUAACGCAGGGAAGUGAAACAUCUCAGUACCUGCAGGAAGAGAAAUCAAUCGAGAUUCCCCAAGUAGCGGCGAGCGAACGGGGAAGAGCCCAAACCGCGCGGAUUCGUCCGUACGGGGUUGUAGGGCCGGAAUGACCGAUUCACGCGUAACCAGAAGAAGUGAGCAGGAAAGCUCCGCCAGAGAGGGUGACAGUCCCGUAUUUGAAAGUGAGAGUGACGGUUCCGGUACCUGAGUACUGCGAGACACGUGAAAUCUCGUGGGAAUCCGGGAGGACCAUCUCCUAAGGCUAAAUACUAACUGACGACCGAUAGUGUACCAGUACCGUGAGGGAAAGGUGAAAAGAACCCCUGUCAGGGGAGUGAAAGAGAAUCUGAAACCUGGUGCUUACAAGCUGUGGGAGCCGUACUUGUACGGUGACCAUGUGCCUUUUGCAUAAUGAGUCAGCGAGUUAAUCUGUACAGCAAGGUUAAGCGUAAGUGAAGCCGCAGCGAAAGCGAGUCCGAACAGGGCCACAGUUGUGCGGAUUAGACCCGAAACCGGGUGAUCUAUCCAUGAGCAGGUUGAAGCAAGGGUAAAGCCUUGUGGAGGACCGAACCAGUUCUGGCUGAAAACAGUUUGGAUGACUUGUGGAUAGGGGUGAAAGGCCAAUCAAACCCGGUGAUAGCUGGUUCUCCCCGAAAUAUAUUGAGGUAUAGCCUUGCGGAUUGUCUUAUGGAGGUAAAGCUCUGACAGAACUAGGGGUCCUAUCCGACUACCGAAUUCUUUCAAACUCUGAAUACCAUUAAGAUUUACCGCAGGAGUCAGACGGCGGGUGCUAAGGUUCGUCGUCAAAAGGGCAACAGCCCAGACCGACAGCUAAGGCCUCCAAAUGCAUGCUCAGUGGUUAAGGUGGUGGCGUUGUGCAGACACCCAGGACGUUGGCUUAGAAGCAGCCAUCGUUUAAAGAAAGCGUAAUAGCUCACUGGUUCAAUGGCGCUGCGCCGAAAAUGUAACGGGGCUAAGCAUGCUGCCGAAGCUUCGGAUUUGUCUCUGACAACUGGUAGGGGAGCGUUCUCUGCGGGCUGAAGCGGAACCGAAAGGUUUCGUGGACUGCAGAGAAGUGAUUAUGCUGACAUGAGUAACGAUAAAAUAUGUGAAAAACAUAUUCGCCGUAAAUCCAAGGUUUCCUGGGUAAAGGUAAUCUUCCCAGGGUUAGUCGGACCCUAAGGCCAGGCUGAAAGGCGUAGCUGAUGGGAAACGGGUUAAUAAUCCUGUACUUGUGCGAUUGUGCGAAGAAGGGACGCAGGAUGGUAGACAGGCCGGUUUUUGGAAUCCGGUGCAAGUGCGUAGGCGUGCUCCGCAGGCAAAUCCGCGGAGAUGAGCCGAGACACGAGUCCGUGGGCGUAAGCCCUGAAGCUGUUGAGCCACGGCUGCCAAGAAAAGCUUCUAAGUUUAGAUCGCGCGAACCGUACCGCAAACCAACUCAGGUGGAUGGGAUGAAUAAUCCAAGGCGCUCGAGAGAACUCUGGCCAAGGAACUCGGCAAAUUGACCCCGUACCUUCGGAAUAAGGGGUGCUCCCCAUGGUGAGGCAGAUUCCUGCUCAGCCCCGGGGAGCCGCAGAGAAAUGGUGGUGGCGACUGUUUACUAAAAACAUAGGUCUGUGCGAAGUCCUACAGACGACGUAUACGGACUGACGCCUGCCCGGUGCCGGAAGGUUAAAAGGAGGAGUCAGCGCAAGCGAAGCUCCGAUUUGAAGCCCCGGUAAACGGCGGCCGUAACUAUAACGGUCCUAAGGUAGCGAAAUUCCUUGUCGGGCAAGUUCCGACCUGCACGAAUGGCGUAACGAUCUCCACGCUGUCUCGGCCAGAGACUCGGUGAAAUUGAAGUCGCGGUGAAAAUGCCGUGUACCCGCAGAAAGACGGAAAGACCCUGUGCACCUUUACUAUAGCUUGACAUUGGGUUUUGAACCUGCAUGUGUAGGAUAGGUGGGAGGCUGUGAAAGCUGUACGCCAGUAUGGCCGGAGCCACCCGUGAAAUACCACCCUUGUUUGUUCAGGACCCUAACUCGCAGCUGUAAUCCAGCGCGAAGACAGUGUCUGGUGGGUAGUUUGACUGGGGCGGUCGCCUCCUAAAGAGU